CAAGUCCAUCUUUGGCACUAGAAAAUCUACUUCUCUUUCUACAUCAGCUCCCCCCACCUUUUAAAUCCUUAUGUUUCAGUUGUUGCAGAAAGAAGCAAGGUUGGGCACAGCCCAGUAUAUACUGUCCUGAACGUGUUGUCGCUGUCCACGUGUCCCCCCGUUCUUUUGAUCUUCUGCCUUGAAGUGAGGGUUUGUUGCAGGAUUCAGCUGGAGUUUGCUUUGAUAUCCUAACUCUUGGAUAUGUGGCAAAUACAUGCUUAUAUAGAUUAUAAACUGUCCCGAAGGUUUCCUGACAAGACAAAAGUGGACUAGGAGACUUCAAAAGGCUUAUUCAGAUUUGAAUUGACAAUGGAGAGAACUGAGCAAGGUAAAUGGAGUUAGAGCAGAUUUUACCUUGGGAUCUGAUGAGAGAGAAAUGACCUGUUGAGACUACAAUUCAGUGAAGAUUCUUCAGCAGGCAUCAUGCUGAUGGGGUAGGGGGAAAAAC
Molecule: long non-coding RNA, 487 nt
Filed under: Struthio camelus australis
Lineage: Eukaryota; Metazoa; Chordata; Aves; Struthioniformes; Struthionidae
Description: lncRNA (ENSSCUG00000018711.1)
Source: RNAcentral